This 1459-nucleotide long non-coding RNA is filed under the name Mus musculus (house mouse). RNAcentral's name for it is "lincRNA-EC26". The record is from RNAcentral. Lineage: Eukaryota; Metazoa; Chordata; Mammalia; Rodentia; Muridae.
AGCUGAAGCUGCAAGUCCUGAUAAGAAGGCCUUGCUUCACUCACAAUGCUGUGGAGUGCUUGCACUGGGCCUUAGAACGCAGCACUCAAGACAAGACUUGAACCUUUGAUGCGUCUGGAACUAGACCCUCAAAGCAGGAGAAACGGGCCUCCUCUGUAACUCAUCAAGAAGCCAGUGAUGCGUUUGUAUUGUAUAGCAGUUUUCUUUGAGAUUGCAACCUCCUAAGGCAGGAAAUGUUUACAGGGAAGUAGAAUAACAGAAUUUCUAAAGGGAAGUGAAAUAACCGCAGGGAAACUUAAGACGGGAAAUGAGUGGCUCGAACAGCUUCGGGGGGUUCUUGAAACUGACCAGAUUCACCAGGACAGUCCUCUCCAAGAGUGGAUAAGCAGUGAAGACCUCUGAGAGUCGCUCUCAGACAAGCCCAGUCACCCAGAAGAAGCAGAGAUCUGCUGAGCUGCCUGGAAGAUGCUCAGGCUGCUGACUGGUGCACCUGAAAAGGACACUCUCCAGCCUUCUGAGGACACAAGGAUUCAUGUACGGCCUCAAAUCCAUGCCUGCAAUAGCAGGGACAAGAAGGUGUCUGUGGAGUUCCAGAGAGUGACUUGGGGCACAGAUUAUGAAUAAUGGUGAAAGUAUUGGAAAAAGCCGUGAACAGCCCAAGAGGGUCUGUCACUGGACGAGUUCCAAGGAGCUCAGGAUCAAAGGUCAUAUCAUAUCCUUAGGGUCAAAGGUGUAGACACCUAAGUUCUAAGAAGUGCAGCACCAGCCAUUCUAAGUGCUAAAACUCAAGAUCUAUAAUGCUAACUGUGGCUGAGAACCACUGCAGGGCUGGCUGCUGUUACCUCUAUCUGAGCUAAGAGGAUUAAGUAUGGCAGGUGCCAGGCCAUGGGCAAUCAAAGCCCACAGAUGUAGGUCUGAGCACCUACAUCUGUAAGUCUUUGGCCUCUAGAGUCUGGAUUGUAUUCCCCUAGUUUUCAGGGGUUGGUAUUGUAAGUCCCAGUGACUAUUGGCUUGUAGUACAGUGUUUUUUUUUUUGUUUUUGUUUUUUUUUUUGGUAUGUGCCUGGAAUCCCUGAUCUCUUUAAGACUUUUAACAUGAAGGAGUGUUGGUUUUUGUCAAAGGCUUUUUCAGCAUCUAGUGAGAUUAUCAUGUGAUUUUUUUUUCUUUCAGUUUGUUUGUAGAGUGGAUUAAGUGAGGUAACCGAGACCCAAAAGGACAUGCAUGAUAUUAUAAGUGAAUAUUAGGCAUAGAGUUCAGAAUAACCAUGAGAUACCCCACAGACCCAACGAAGUUAAACAAGAAGGAAGGCCCAAGUGAGGAUACCUGAUUCUAAGUAAGAAUCACACUUAGAAGGGGGAAAAAUAGUCAUAGGAGGCAGAUAGGAGGGGAAGCUGGGUGAGAGAGGGGAAGGAGAAAGGAGUGAGGGGGAGAUUCAGGUGCGCAGAGAGACAGGAGAGAG